GAGGGGACAAAGGAAGGCAGCACCUGGGUCUUAGUGCCCCCAGAGUUUGUGGGUAAAGUCUCCCCUGUACAGCUCUGGAUCCAGGAGGAGCUGGAGGGAGGGGUAGCCCCAGCUGAGCCUUGUUACUUACACACACACACCCACACACACACACACCAGUGCAGCAGUCCCUGCUUUGGAUGCAUCUGUUUCUACUGGCUGGAUUCCCUGGCUGACUCCUUUCUGCAAUGCACAAAUACUGUGCUUCAUCAGAUUCAGAACAAACACAGCAUGGUUCAGGAACUAUUCAUUCACCAAAUAUAACUGCCAAUGACUCUGUACGCAGAAUUAAUUCCAGUACACCCCAGGCACUUACAUAGCACAUGGUCUAUCAGAUGCAAGACGGCAGUCCUAUCUACCUACCUAUCUACACUUCCUAAAGCACAGUAUAAAGUGUAUGCUGUUUAGGAAAAUUAUCACUCUAAACCACUAACAUUCACCAUAUCGAGGAGCAAAUUCUUCCUUCAAGUGCACACUCCUGACUUCCAGGGGGAGUCAUACAUAUGCAUCAAGGAGCAGGAUUUGGCCCCAAGUGUU
This is a long non-coding RNA of Mauremys reevesii (Reeves's turtle), 576 nucleotides long. RefSeq lists it as uncharacterized. The record is from RefSeq and is a predicted model, not a curated record. Lineage: Eukaryota; Metazoa; Chordata; Testudines; Geoemydidae. The transcript has 3 exons.